RNAcentral lists this ribosomal RNA (1302 nucleotides) under metagenome. Its description in RNAcentral is "bacterial LSU rRNA". It matches the Rfam family "Bacterial large subunit ribosomal RNA", at positions 1579 to 2890 of the family's 2925-position model. The record is from RNAcentral.
UUAGUAGCGAAGUUCCUGAUGUCACACUGCCAAGAAAAGCUUCUAGUGAGAAAGUAACUGCCCGUACCGCAAACCGACACAGGUAGUUGAGGAGAGAAUCCUAAGGUGUGCGAGAGAACUCUCGUUAAGGAACUCGGCAAAAUGACCCCGUAACUUCGGGAGAAGGGGUGCUGACCGCAAGGUCAGCCGCAGUGAAUAGGCCCAAGCGACUGUUUAUCAAAAACACAGGUCUCUGCAAAAUCGAAAGAUGACGUAUAGGGGCUGACGCCUGCCCGGUGCUGGAAGGUUAAGAGGAGAGGUUAGCGCAAGCGAAGCUUUGAAUUGAAGCCCCAGUAAACGGCGGCCGUAACGAUAACGGUCCUAAGGUAGCGAAAUUCCUUGUCGGGUAAGUUCCGACCCGCACGAAAGGCGUAACGAUUUGGGCACUGUCUCAACGAGAGACUCGGUGAAAUUAUAGUACCAGUGAAGAUGCUGGUUACCCGCGACAGGACGGAAAGACCCCAUGGUGCUUUACUGCAGUUUGAUAUUGCGUGUUUGUAUCACAUGUACAGGAUAGGUAGGAGCCGAAGAUACCGGGACGCCAGUCUCGGAGGAGGCAACGGUGGGAUACUACCCUUGUGAUAUGACCACUCUAACCCGCUGCUCUUAGCGAGCAGGGAGACAGUGUCAGACGGGCAGUUUGACUGGGGCGGUCGCCUCCAAAAAUGUAACGGAGGCGCCCAAAGGUUCCCUCAGAAUGGUUGGAAAUCAUUCGUAGAGUGUAAAGGCAGAAGGGAGCUUGACUGCGAGACCUACAAGUCGAGCAGGGACGAAAGUCGGGCUUAGUGAUCCGGUGGUUCCGCAUGGAAGGGCCAUCGCUCAACGGAUAAAAGCUACCCUGGGGAUAACAGGCUUAUCUCCCCCAAGAGUUCACAUCGACGGGGAGGUUUGGCACCUCGAUGUCGGCUCAUCGCAUCCUGGGGCUGUAGUCGGUCCCAAGGGUUGGGCUGUUCGCCCAUUAAAGCGGUACGCGAGCUGGGUUCAGAACGUCGUGAGACAGUUCGGUCCCUAUCCGUCGCGGGCGUUGGAAAUUUGAGAGGAGCUGUCCUUAGUACGAGAGGACCGGGAUGGACACACCGCUGGUGUACCAGUUGUUCUGCCAAGAGCAUCGCUGGGUAGCUAUGUGCGGACGGGAUAAACGCUGAAAGCAUCUAAGCGUGAAGCCCCCCUCAAGAUGAGAUUUCCCAUCACUUUAAGUGAGUAAGACCCCUGAGAGAUGAUCAGGUAGAUAGGUUGGGAGUGGAAGUACAGCGAUGUAUGGAG